AAUCAAGUAAUGAUGUUCACAAGUUUUGAUGAUCAAUCUGUGUUUCAGUCCAUAGAUGCAAAUCUAAGUCGACCAUCAUUGAAUAGCUAUAUUCAUUUCACACAUAAGAUGCAAAAUUGUUUGAACUAAAUAGAUUUUGAUUUAACAUGUGAUUAUUAUUGUAAUAGGAGGGAGAUGAGGGUUAAGAAUGGAUACAUCGAUGGUAAUGGCAAAUAGAAGUUCUCAUGUGGUGAUUGGUGACAAGAUUAAUCGGAUACAAGAGCUGACGGACAAUAUUUUGCAUGCCAACUUCAGGUCUCCUUUACACUGACAAACACGUAAAUCUAAGUAGGGAGUACCCAUGUCUCAUCCUCACCAAUCUCUUCCAUCACACUGCUCUAUUAGUGAGUUAAGUUUCUUUCUCUCUGUUGUUUAUUCAGAUUAUUUAUUUAUUAUUUUCACUAUUAUUUACUUAAGCCCCCAUGUUCUCUUAGGAAUGGUAUAAGAGGCUGAUCAUGAGUUUAUUCUUUGUCAGCCCCAAAAGGUUGUUUUACUCAGUUUUUGGGAUCUUGACAAAAUCUGUCUAAGCAACCAAAAAGAAAGCACGCAAGUGGAGGUUUCAUUAUUUUGCAAUUUAUGAUGACUUAGAUUCUGGUGAUUGUGUUAACUUUUAGCUUCUUACUGAUUUGAGUUCGUAUAUGGUCAUUUUUUCAGUUUUUGCUGUUAGUCUGUAUAUU
This is a long non-coding RNA of Brassica oleracea var. oleracea, 716 nucleotides long. RefSeq lists it as uncharacterized. The record is from RefSeq and is a predicted model, not a curated record. The transcript is spliced from 3 exons. NCBI's taxonomy places the organism in Eukaryota, Viridiplantae, Streptophyta, Magnoliopsida, Brassicales, Brassicaceae.